GAGUACCAUAUCAUCCAAACAGAUACUUCGAUUUCUAGAUUCGGAAUGAGGAUUUGAUCUUCCAUAUGGAUGCUAUAUAGAGAUCUAACUUUGAGAAGUGGUUUGGAGCUAUUAAAUCUAAAAUAAAGUCCAUGAAGAUUGACGAUGUAUGGAUAUUCGUUGAUUCACCUGAAAGGAUAAGACCCACAGGGUGUAAGUGGAUUUUAAAAUGGAUAAGAGAUGC
This 223-nucleotide long non-coding RNA is filed under the name Elaeis guineensis (African oil palm). Its description in RNAcentral is "long non-coding RNA (EGUI_LNC046818)". Lineage: Eukaryota; Viridiplantae; Streptophyta; Magnoliopsida; Arecales; Arecaceae. The record is from RNAcentral.